AGUGAACGCUGGCGGCAGGCUUAACACAUGCAAGUCGAACGGCAGCACAGUAAGAGCUUGCUCUUACGGGUGGCGAGUGGCGGACGGGUGAGGAAUACAUCGGAAUCUACUUUUUCGCGGGGGAUAACGGAGGGAAACUCACGCUAAUACCGCAUACGACCUACGGGUGAAAGCAGGGCAUCUUCGGACUUUGCGCGAUUGAAUGAGCCGAUGUCGGAUUAGCUAGUUGGCGGGGUAAAGGCCCACCAAGGCGACGAUCCGUAGCUGGUCUGAGAGGAUGAUCAGCCACACUGGAACUGAGACACGGUCCAGACUCCUACGGGAGGCAGCAGUGGGGAAUAUUGGACAAUGGGCGCAAGCCUGAUCCAGCCAUACCGCGUGGGUGAAGAAGGCCUUCGGGUUGUAAAGCCCUUUUGUUGGGAAAGAAAAGCAGCAGGUUAAUACCCCGCUGUUCUGACGGUACCCAAAGAAUAAGCACCGGCUAACUUCGUG
Molecule: ribosomal RNA, 492 nt
Filed under: uncultured bacterium
Lineage: Bacteria
Description: partial 16S ribosomal RNA
Rfam family: Bacterial small subunit ribosomal RNA
Source: RNAcentral